GGGCAGCGGGGAGGAAGCUUGCUUUCUCCGCCGGCGACCGGCGCACGGGUGAGUAACACGUAUGCAACCUGCCCCUGUCAGGGGGACAACCCGCCGAAAGGCGGGCUAAACCCGCGUACAUGCCACCGGGGCAUCCCGGAGGCAGGAAAGGCUUCGGCCGGACAGGGAUGGGCAUGCGGCGCAUUAGGCAGUAGGCGGGGUAACGGCCCACCUAACCGACGAUGCGUAGGGGUUCUGAGAGGAAGGUCCCCCACACUGGUACUGAGACACGGACCAGACUCCUACGGGAGGCAGCAGUGAGGAAUAUUGGUCAAUGGUCGGGAGACUGAACCAGCCAAGCCGCGUGAGGGAGGAAGGUACAGAGUAUCGUAAACCUCUUUUGUCAGGGAACAAAGACUGGGACGCGUCCCCGGAUGAGUGUACCUGAAGAAAAAGCAUCGGCUAACUCCGUGCCAGCAGCCGCGGUAAUACGGAGGAUGCGAGCGUUAUCCGGAUUUAUUGGGUUUAAAGGGUGCGCAGGCGGUCUGCUAAGUCAGCGGUCAAAGCCCGGGGCUCAACCCCGGCCCGCCGUUGAAACUGGCAGUCUCGAGUUGGAGAGAAGUAUGCGGAAUGCGCGGUGUAGCGGUGAAAUGCAUAGAUAUCGCGCAGAACUCCGAUUGCGAAGGCAGCAUGCCGGCUCCACACUGUCGCUGAGGCACGAAAGCGUGGGUAUCGAACAGGAUUAGAUACCCUGGUAGUCCACGCAGUAAACGAUGAAUGCUGGCUGUCCGGGGGGACUGACCCCUGGGUGGCGAAGCGAAAGCGAUAAGCAUUCCACCUGGGGAGUACGCCGGCAACGGUGAAACUCAAAGGAAUUGACGGGGGCCCGCACAAGCGGAGGAACAUGUGGUUUAAUUCGAUGAUACGCGAGGAACCUUACCCGGGCUCAAACGGGGAGUGCCGCAGGCAGAGACGCCUGUUUCCCACGGGACACUCCCCGAGGUGCUGCAUGGUUGUCGUCAGCUCGUGCCGUGAGGUGUCGGCUUAAGUGCCAUAACGAGCGCAACCCCCGCGUGCAGUUGCUAACAGAUAACGCUGAGGACUCUGCACGGACUGCCGGCGCAAGCCGCGAGGAAGGCGGGGAUGACGUCAAAUCAGCACGGCCCUUACGUCCGGGGCGACACACGUGUUACAAUGGGUGGUACAGCGGGAAGCCAGGCGGCGACGCCGAGCGGAACCCGAAAUCCACUCUCAGUUCGGAUCGGAGUCUGCAACCCGACUCCGUGAAGCUGGAUUCGCUAGUAAUCGC
This 1288-nucleotide ribosomal RNA is filed under the name uncultured bacterium. Its description in RNAcentral is "bacterial SSU rRNA". It matches the Rfam family "Bacterial small subunit ribosomal RNA", at positions 67 to 1345 of the family's 1533-position model. The record is from RNAcentral.